ACGGUGAAGCCAAGCUUGCUUGGGGGAUCAGUGGCGAACGGGUGAGAAACACGUGAGCAACCUGCCCUGGACUCUGGGAUAAGCGCUGGAAACGGCGUCUAAUACUGGAUAUGAGCCUCUUCCGCAUGGUGGGGGUUGGAAAGAUUUUUUGGUCUGGGAUGGGCUCGCGGCCUAUCAGCUUGUUGGUGAGGUAAUGGCUCACCAAGGCGUCGACGGGUAGCCGGCCUGAGAGGGUGACCGGCCACACUGGGACUGAGACACGGCCCAGACUCCUACGGGAGGCAGCAGUGGGGAAUAUUGCACAAUGGGCGAAAGCCUGAUGCAGCAACGCCGCGUGAGGGAUGACGGGCCUUCGGGUUGUAAAACUUCUUUUUAGCAGGGAAAGAAGCGAAAAGUGACGGUCCCUGCAGAAAAAGCGCCGCCUAACUACGUGCCAGCGGUCGGGGUAUUACGAGGGCGCCAAGGUUAUUCCGAAUUAAUUGGGCCGGAAAGGAGCUCGAAGCGGGUUUGUGGCGUCCCCUGGUGAAAUCCCCAAGGUUCACCCUCGGCCCUGACAGUGGGUACGG
RNAcentral lists this ribosomal RNA (566 nucleotides) under Microbacterium sp. G3W20(B). RNAcentral describes it as "bacterial SSU rRNA". It matches the Rfam family "Bacterial small subunit ribosomal RNA", at positions 66 to 635 of the family's 1533-position model. The record is from RNAcentral. Lineage: Bacteria; Bacillati; Actinomycetota; Actinomycetes; Micrococcales; Microbacteriaceae.